This 301-nucleotide ribosomal RNA is filed under the name Phanerota dissimilis. RNAcentral describes it as "partial 12S ribosomal RNA". Lineage: Eukaryota; Metazoa; Arthropoda; Insecta; Coleoptera; Staphylinidae. The record is from RNAcentral.
UAUUAAURGUUAUAGUCUUAUAAAAUUAAAAAAUUUGGCGGUAUUUUAGUCUUUUCAGAGGAAUCUGUCCUGUAAUUGAUAAUCCACGAUUAGAAUUACUUAUUUUACAAAUUUGUAUAUCGUUGUAGUUGAAUAUUUUUUAAGAAUUCAAAUAUUCAUAAAAUUUAAUUAAAUAAAAAAUCAAAUCAAGGUGCAGUUUAUAAAUAAGAAGAGAUGGAUUACAAUAUAAUAAUAUGUGAAUUUUUAAUUUAAAAUUAAAAUGAAAAUGGAUUUGAAAGUAAUUUUUAAAUUUUAWUAAAAU